UUCUCUUCCCUCUUGUUUCGUUUUCCUUCUCUCUCUCUGAUUCACUCAUUUCCUAUAAGCAAGAACAAAUUAUCUUUCAUUCACUCAUAGCUUCUCGUCACUCCUUCUUCAUCUUUGUACAGUGCCACCCUCUCAUGCUAUUUUCGGUCACUCCGCCUGUCUCGGCUGCGACGCCAUAUUCAUCUCCUUGUUUUCAUACCCAGUUUUGGUGUGCCAAUUGCACCCACAAUUGAAAAUUUGUGGAUAGUUCAAAUGCUGUUUUGGAUUGUGGUAGUAUUGAUGAUGGACAGCUCUAAUAGUUUUUGGACAAAAGCACAUGCACUCAUUGCUAAGUAGAUGAAGUGACCCUUUUGUGUAUACAACCAGACUUUUAUAACUAUGAUAUUGUGUUUUUUGGUGGCCAAAUCAUGGUGACAAAGGUCAACACAUGACUAUGAAUUUUUUAUUUUUUUUGGGAAAACAUGUUUGUAAAGUUAACAUUAGGUACAAUGCUAGUUAACUUAUGUAAUUUAAUGUUUGUAAAGUUAACAUAAGGUUUAACUUAUGUAAUUUAAGUUCUAUUUUGUGAUGUAGUUAAUCAACCAUGUAAAUGGUAUGGUUUUGGAAAUUGUAAAUGGUGUGGUUGUAAUGGAAAAAUUAGUGAAUAAUAUAAGGUAGCAAUGUUAUU
Molecule: long non-coding RNA, 667 nt
Filed under: Medicago truncatula (barrel medic)
Lineage: Eukaryota; Viridiplantae; Streptophyta; Magnoliopsida; Fabales; Fabaceae
Description: lncRNA gene41244
Source: RNAcentral